RNAcentral lists this ribosomal RNA (538 nucleotides) under fungal sp. GZ-2010j. RNAcentral's name for it is "eukaryotic LSU rRNA". The stretch from base 222 to 375 matches the Rfam family "5.8S ribosomal RNA". Lineage: Eukaryota; Fungi. The record is from RNAcentral.
UGGAAGUAAAAAGUCGUAACAAGGUCUCCGUAGGUGAACCUGCGGAGGGAUCAUUACACAAAUAUGAAGGCGGGCUGGAACCUCUCGGGGUUACAGCCUUGCUGAAUUAUUCACCCUUGUCUUUUGCGUACUUCUUGUUUCCUUGGUGGGUUCGCCCACCACUAGGACAAACAUAAACCUUUUGUAAUUGCAAUCAGCGUCAGUAACAAAUUAAUAAUUACAACUUUCAACAACGGAUCUCUUGGUUCUGGCAUCGAUGAAGAACGCAGCGAAAUGCGAUAAGUAGUGUGAAUUGCAGAAUUCAGUGAAUCAUCGAAUCUUUGAACGCACAUUGCGCCCUUUGGUAUUCCAAAGGGCAUGCCUGUUCGAGCGUCAUUUGUACCCUCAAGCUUUGCUUGGUGUUGGGCGUCUUGUCUCUAGCUUUGCUGGAGACUCGCCUUAAAGUAAUUGGCAGCCGGCCUACUGGUUUCGGAGCGCAGCACAAGUCGCACUCUCUAUCAGCAAAGGUCUAGCAUCCAUUAAGCCUUUUUUCAACUUU